Molecule: ribosomal RNA, 201 nt
Filed under: Triticum aestivum (bread wheat)
Lineage: Eukaryota; Viridiplantae; Streptophyta; Magnoliopsida; Poales; Poaceae
Description: partial small subunit ribosomal RNA
Source: RNAcentral
AUGGUAGUGGUCUCCUUGUUUACAGUUAUAAGAAUAAUAAAAAUAUUUAUAAUGUUCUUUUCACUAUUACAAUCUCAUAGAUUACAUUACCUGCUUCCAUUAGAAAGGAACUGUGGCUCAUGGGUUUACUGGAUGAUCUUUUUGAUAGACAUUUUAAAAAUAGCAUGGUUUAACACAUGGGCUUUCUAUUACGAGUAUUGA